CAGCAGCCACGGGAAUACGGAGGGUGCAAGCGUUAAUCGGAAUUACUGGGCGUAAAGCGCACGCAGGCGGUCUGACAAGUCAGAUGUGAAAUCCCCGGGCUUAACCUGGGAACUGCAUUUGAAACUGUCAGGCUGGAGUCUUGUAGAGGGGGGUGGAAUUCCAGGUGUAGCGGUGAAAUGCGUAGAGAUCUGGAGGAAUACCGGUGGCGAAGGCGGCCCCCUGGACAAAGACUGACGCUCAGGUGCGAAAGCGUGGGGAGCAAUCAGGAUUAGAUACCCCUGUAGUCCCUGUCUCUUAUAC
RNAcentral lists this ribosomal RNA (301 nucleotides) under uncultured bacterium. RNAcentral's name for it is "partial 16S ribosomal RNA". It matches the Rfam family "Bacterial small subunit ribosomal RNA", at positions 509 to 807 of the family's 1533-position model. The record is from RNAcentral.